AAAGUUACAAACUGGCCUUUUUCUUCUUCCCAGACAAUGAAACUGUGGUAUCUCAGAAAAUGUCUUAUAGCUAAUGAGGUGACAUUCCUUAAAGAGCAGUGGAGGCGUUCCACCUUUGCUGAGUCAUCAUCAUGGCUAGGCUUCGCGAACGAAGAUUUGAGAAGGGCUCUACCCACGCUUGCUACAAGCACGCUGAUGGCUAAAAAGGCCAAUGCAAGAUAGACAAGUCCAGUUGCAGAAGGCACAGC
Long non-coding RNA from Myiozetetes cayanensis, 248 nucleotides. RefSeq lists it as uncharacterized. Lineage: Eukaryota; Metazoa; Chordata; Aves; Passeriformes; Tyrannidae. The record is from RefSeq and is a predicted model, not a curated record. The transcript is spliced from 3 exons.